Molecule: ribosomal RNA, 254 nt
Filed under: uncultured bacterium
Lineage: Bacteria
Description: partial 16S ribosomal RNA
Rfam family: Bacterial small subunit ribosomal RNA
Source: RNAcentral
UACGGGGGGGGGCAAGCGUUGUUCGGAAUUACUGGGCGUAAAGGGCGCGUAGGUGGCCAACUAAGUCAGACGUGAAAUCCCUCGGCUUAACCGGGGAACUGCGUCUGAUACUGGAUGGCUUGAGUUUGGGAGAGGGACGCGGAAUUCCCGGUGUAGAGGUGAAAUUCGUAGAUAUCGGGAGGAACACCAGUGGCGAAGGCGGCGAUCUGGGAAGAUACUGACGCUGAGGUGCGAAAGUGUGGGGAGCAAACAGG